GAUGAACGCUGGCGGCGUGCCUAAUACAUGCAAGUCGAGCGAACAGACGAGGAGCUUGCUCCUCUGACGUUAGCGGCGGACGGGUGAGUAACACGUGGAUAACCUACCUAUAAGACUGGGAUAACUUCGGGAAACCGGUGCUAAUACCGGAUAAUAUAUUGAACCGCAUGGUUCAAUAGUGAAAGACGGUUUUGCUGUCACUUAUAGAUGGAUCCGCGCCGCAUUAGCUAGUUGGUAAGGUAACGGCUUACCAAGGCAACGAUGCGUAGCCGACCUGAGAGGGUGAUCGGCCACACUGGAACUGAGACACGGUCCAGACUCCUACGGGAGGCAGCAGUAGGGAAUCUUCCGCAAUGGGCGAAAGCCUGACGGAGCAACGCCGCGUGAGUGAUGAAGGUCUUCGGAUCGUAAAACUCUGUUAUUAGGGAAGAACAAAUGUGUAAGUAACUAUGCACGUCUUGACGGUACCUAAUCAGAAAGCCACGGCUAACUACGUG
This 497-nucleotide ribosomal RNA is filed under the name uncultured bacterium. Its description in RNAcentral is "partial 16S ribosomal RNA". It matches the Rfam family "Bacterial small subunit ribosomal RNA", at positions 28 to 507 of the family's 1533-position model. The record is from RNAcentral.